UUUUUGUGUGUUUUUGGAUUCUCUCGUUCUCACAAUUCUAUUUUCAUUUCAACGUAAACCAGCCGCCACAGCUCUCGUUCGCCGGAAAGAUUCAUCAAUCAAAUCGACUGGAAUCAACCAGCCGCCGCAGCUCCGGCCACCGCCAUUCAUUCUUCUUCAGAUCCAGUAUAUUAUCUUAGAAACUCGCCGGAAACUACUAUAGUAUAGUCGCGCAUCCAGCGUCGCCGGAUCUCGACCGUUCGAUUCACAUCACACCAUCGUUCUCCUCCGCUUGCGCCACCGGAGAAACUUCAAGGAGAUCUUGUUUACCGAGAUGUAUGGUGAAUGGUCCUGAAAAAAGUAGCAAAGUCUAUAAGUUUAGAUUUUCGGGUUUCACGGGGAAUAGCAGAGGUUAACGAAGGGAAAUAUUCUCAUGCUAUAUCCAUUUUUGACCAGAUAUUGAAAGAAGACUCUGCAUUCAAGAGAGACGGCAUUUGCAUUCAAGAGAGAACUUCAUUCUGCCAUAGAUGAUUUUACCAAGGCUAUACAAUUCAAUCCAUCAGCUGGUGAGGCAUUAGAGUUUGAAUCCAACACAGCAGACAUUUUACACGAGAGAGGAUAGUUUUUGAUUCUGAUUCUUGCACUAUUGUUCUUGUGGUCCAAUGCUCAUACAUUUAUUCACAAAGGAAGUGGUAGCAUUAGGAGAAAGUGUGGGCUAUCAUCUCAUAAUUGUUGGGAUGGGUCGAUUUCCAUCGAAUAUGGUGACGAGAUUAGCAGAGAGGACAGCAGAGCAUCCAAAGUUAGGUCCCAUUGGAGACAUUCUUACUUCUUCAACAAGAGGUCAUAGGAUGGUGUCAUCGGUAUUGAUUAUACAGCAGCAUGAUGAGAGCCUCACUAAUGACUAGGAAGAACACUUGGUU
Molecule: long non-coding RNA, 899 nt
Organism: Vicia villosa (hairy vetch)
Lineage: Eukaryota; Viridiplantae; Streptophyta; Magnoliopsida; Fabales; Fabaceae
Exons: 8
Source: RefSeq, a predicted model, not a curated record